This 253-nucleotide ribosomal RNA is filed under the name uncultured bacterium. RNAcentral's name for it is "partial 16S ribosomal RNA". It matches the Rfam family "Bacterial small subunit ribosomal RNA", at positions 524 to 776 of the family's 1533-position model. RNAcentral also lists the same sequence under 1 other name. The record is from RNAcentral.
UACGAAGGGGGCUAGCGUUGCUCGGAAUCACUGGGCGUAAAGGGCGCGUAGGCGGCUUAUCAAGUCGGGGGUGAAAGCCCGUGGCUCAACCACGGAAUGGCCUUCGAUACUGGUAGGCUUGAGACCGGAAGAGGACAGCGGAACUGCGAGUGUAGAGGUGAAAUUCGUAGAUAUUCGCAAGAACACCAGUGGCGAAGGCGGCUGUCUGGUCCGGUUCUGACGCUGAGGCGCGAAAGCGUGGGGAGCAAACAGG